This 677-nucleotide ribosomal RNA is filed under the name Colletotrichum acutatum. RNAcentral's name for it is "eukaryotic LSU rRNA". The stretch from base 255 to 408 matches the Rfam family "5.8S ribosomal RNA". Lineage: Eukaryota; Fungi; Ascomycota; Sordariomycetes; Glomerellales; Glomerellaceae. The record is from RNAcentral.
GGGUUCGGGUCUAUGGCGUUGGUUGUAGCUGGCUCCUAGACAUUGUGCACGCCCGUCAUUCAUAUCAUCUUUCCACCUGUGAACCAUCUGUAGGCCUGGAUACCCCUCGCUUUGGCAACAAAGCGGAUGCAAGGAUUGCUGCGUCUACAAAGCCCGGCUCUCUUUGAAUUUCCAGGCUCUAUGUCUUUUUACACACCCCAUUUGAAUGAUCUAAAAUGUACUCAAUGGGCUUUCAUGCCUAUAAAAAACUAUACAACUUUCAACAACGGAUCUCUUGGCUCUCGCAUCCAUGAAGAACGCAGCGAAAUGCGAUAAUUAAAGUGAAUUGCAAAAUUCAAUGAAUCAUCUAAUCUUUGAACCCACCUUGCGAUCCUUGGUAUUCCAAGGAGCAUGCCAGUUUGACUGACAUUAAAUUCUCAACCUCCCCAGUUUUGUAACCAGACAUGUGAAGGCUUGCAUGUGGGGGUUUUGCACGCUGCCUCAGUGCUGGUCUGCUCUCCUGAAAUGAAUACCCGAGCACAUAUUGAGCUUCCGUCUAUUGGUGAAAUAAUUAUCUACGCCGUGGAUUGGACUCAUGCUUGCUUCUAACUGUCCGCAAGGACAAUUUACUUGACCAAUUUGACCUCAAAUCAGGUAGGACUACCCGCUGAACUUAAGCAUAUCAAUAAGCGGAGGAA